UCCUCAUGGUUUUGUCUUUCUAUUUACUGAAAUGAUAUCAAAGUGACCCAUUUCCUACUCGAUUUGGCAGGAAAGGCCUUUGUUUCUGAUUGCACCAGAUGCCUGCCAAGUCUGCCACGGCUGUUUGUCUGUUGCCGCGUGCUCCUUGUGUUGCUGGAGAGGACUCUGCCAUCCUUGCUGCCGCUGCCGGCGUGCUUCUAUUUGGCAGUGGAUGAAAAGGGCUUCCUCGAGCAUGAGGUGUCCCAGCAAACUGGAAGAUGGUCUGAUGGAAAGGGACGAGUUAAACUGACUUGUGGAGAGAAACAGCAAUAAGAACUAAGCUACAGCUGUAACCUCCUUCUCUGACUCAAUGUGCUUGGGAAAUGUUGGACACCGUAGCAGAGAUGCUAGUGUGCAAGGAAAGCAGUG
This is a long non-coding RNA of Lolium rigidum, 408 nucleotides long. RefSeq lists it as uncharacterized. The record is from RefSeq and is a predicted model, not a curated record. NCBI's taxonomy places the organism in Eukaryota, Viridiplantae, Streptophyta, Magnoliopsida, Poales, Poaceae. The transcript is spliced from 4 exons.